AGAGUUUGAUCAUGGCUCAGGACGAACGCUGGCGGCGUGCUUAACACAUGCAAGUCAAGGGGGCCCAGCAAUGGGCAACCGGCGAACGGGUGCGUAACACGUGAGCAACCUUCCGAAAUAUGGGGGAUAGCCGGCCUAACGGCCGAGUAAUACCGCAUACGCUCUCGAUGAGGCAUUUCAUUGAGAGGAAACCUCCGGGGUAUUUCGAGGGGCUCGCGGCCUAUCAGCUAGUUGGCGAGGUAACGGCUCACCAAGGCAACGACGGGUAGCUGGUCUGAGAGGAUGGCCAGCCACAUUGGGACUGAGAUACGGCCCAGACUCCUACGGGAGGCAGCAGUGGGGAAUCUUGCGCAAUGGCCUAACGGCUGACGCAGCGACGCCGCGUGUGGGAUGAAGCUCUUCGGAGUGUAAACCACUGUUGCCCGGGACGAAUAGCUCGAUUAAUCGAGCCUGACAGUACCGGGUGAGGAAGCACCGGCUAACUCCGUGCCAGCAGCCGCGGUAAUACGGGGGGUGCGAGCGUUGUCCGGAAUCACUGGGCGUAAAGGGCGCGUAGGUGGUUUGAUAAGGGUGUGGUGAAAGUCCGGGGCUCAACCCCGGAUCUGCCGUGCCGACUGUCAAACUCGAGGACUGUAGAGGCAGACGGAAUUCCGGGUGUAGCGGUGGAAUGCGUAGAGAUCCGGAGGAAGACCGGUGGCGAAGGCGGUCUGCUGGGCAGUUUCUGACACUGAGGCGCGACAGCGUGGGGAGCAAACAGGAUUAGAUACCCUGGUAGUCCACGCCGUAAACGAUGGGUACUAGGUGCCUGGGGGAGCGACCCUCUGGGUGCCGGCGCUAACGCAGGAAGUACCCCGCCUGGGGAGUACGACCGCAAGGUUGAAACUCAAAGGAAUUGACGG
Molecule: ribosomal RNA, 899 nt
Filed under: uncultured bacterium
Lineage: Bacteria
Description: bacterial SSU rRNA
Rfam family: Bacterial small subunit ribosomal RNA
Source: RNAcentral